UGAAAGAGGCGGAUUUCCAGCUGCCAGAUUUUGACCUCACGGCGGGCUGCCCAUUGAAAUCAACGGAGCCCCUGACGACGUCGUCUAGCAGCGGCGCUUCGAGCUCCGAUAUGUCACCUCCGGUCAUCCUCUCUCUCUCUACACUUGUCGGUUUCUAUGUUAUUUUUUUAUUUUUUUGAGAAAAGGUUUCUAUGUUAUUUUAGUUUCCAUCUUUCUUGGUACUGUUAUAGGAGUAUUGUUUUUUUUAAGCGUAUAGGAAAUUAUUAUUUGUUAUAUUAUAUACUAUCAUGUGUGUGUGUGACAAACAACCACACAUGAAACAUAUGGAGGGAAUUUAUAAGCCUUCGGUUGACUUAAUAUUCGNCGGAGGGAGUACCUCAUUUUUAAUAUGGUCCCUCCUAUUAAAAAUAAAUGUUAUUUCGAAAUUUCAAAAUAAAUGGCAUUCUAGUUUUGUAGGGAUACCCUUGGAUAAAAGGAAAUUUCCUUAAUUUGUGUGUACAAGACUAUAAUGAAAUAUAUAUUGAAUAGUAAUUUAUUUCGUGCUCCCAUUUGGCAACCCUCCUUGGCUUUCCAACUUAAUUUUGUGAUAUGUUUUUUUUUUAUAAAUUAAAUAAGUAAAUAAAGAAAUUUGAAAGAUCGUGUGACGGAGGACUCGAACUCAAAACCUCAUAUCUUGAGCAUUAAGAUCCUACAAUACACGCACACAAUUUUGUGAUAUGUUUAAUUCUAACACACACUAGUUCAAGAUAUAUUUUGUUAAAAAGGUAAAUAGUUUAAAUUUCGAGCGUAAUACACAUUUAAAAAAAAAUAAGUAUAGCAUUAGAAUUCAAUAAUUAGAAUAGACGAUCUCGUGUGCAAAAUUAACGGAGUUAGUAGGCACGUUACCAAGACAUAGACAACGGAAGCAAUGAUAACGGUACGAUAUCUGCCCAAAUACGAGUCGGCGAUGAAACCGCCGACGAGCGGCAGCAGCGACGCCGUGCCGCUCCACGCAUUGACGUUCGCCGCCGCCGCCGCCGUGGACUGGCCCAGCGGCCCCGUCAAAUAGCUUAUCAAAUUCGCACUUAUUCCAUAAUAUGCGAAUCUCUCCGCCACUUCAACACCUACAACCAAAAUGAGAAAUGAGAUUCAAAAUCCAUAAAAACGCAGUAGAUUACUGAUUAGUUCAAUCCGAUUUAUAAUAUAAAUAUACCGAUCAUGAAAGAGGCGGAUUUCCAGCUGCCAGAUUUUGACCUCACGGCGGGCUGCCCAUUGAAAUCAACGGAGCCCCUGACGACGUCGUCUAGCAGCGGCGCUUCGAGCUCCGAUAUGUCACCUCCGG
This 1321-nucleotide long non-coding RNA is filed under the name Salvia miltiorrhiza (redroot sage). RNAcentral's name for it is "long non-coding RNA (SMIL_LNC007395)". The record is from RNAcentral. Lineage: Eukaryota; Viridiplantae; Streptophyta; Magnoliopsida; Lamiales; Lamiaceae.